This is a long non-coding RNA of Rosa rugosa (rugosa rose), 1963 nucleotides long. RefSeq lists it as uncharacterized. The record is from RefSeq and is a predicted model, not a curated record. Lineage: Eukaryota; Viridiplantae; Streptophyta; Magnoliopsida; Rosales; Rosaceae. The transcript is spliced from 2 exons.
UUGCACAGCGGCAACAAAGCAGAACAAUUGAGAUAGAUCUCACAUAUAACUAGCCUCUUAAGGGAAAAAAAAAGCUCUCGGUUUCAGUUCUUCAACAAUAUUCGACUCACAGCAAUGCGACUUCCCCAUAAGAAACUCUGAACACCAUUACUUCCCAGCAGCGGUAUCUCUGUCAUUAAUCCCUCUCAUCCAUCUCCUUAGUUUCCCUUAUCCUCGUUUAGUACCCUAAAUCUCGAAUUAGGGUUUUUCAUGUUGGUAGAAUUUCAGUCUAUUUUUUUCAGUUUUGAUCUGCUAAUUUUUGUUUUCUGGUUACAGUAUUGCAGCUUAGUCUCAUUGGAUUUGGGUCAUAUCUGUGCACACCACCUGUUCGAUGAAAUGCCUCAUAGAACCUUCAAAUUUUAAUUGGGUGGGAAAGCAGUAUCUUUCAGCUUUCUGUUUAAUUGGGUGCUGGAAAUUGAGCAUUUUGGGUGUGAAAGUUGCAAUCUUUACAUCAGGUUUUAGGUGGUGGUGUUGUUGAAAGCUAGAUUUCUUUUGAGUUUAUAUUAUUGCACACCCAACAAUGAUAUCAGGGGUAACUGUUUCUCACCAGAAAAGCUACAUGAUUUGUUAAAGCAGACAAACAUUAUGCCUCUGAUUCUCACACCAGGUUUGUUGCACUCGGUAUUUCUUUGCUGGAGAGGAGCUGACUCCAACAUAGAUAGAUGUUCCAGAGGCCAGCCAACAGUAUCCUCUACUUAGACCAGAAGAGCUCCAUUUGCAAAUUGUAAGGUGGUAGUUAUUUUGUUACUAAACUAAGAUGCAUCAGUUCAACUGACUUGUCAGUGAUGCCCAUUUAUGAUGCCUGUUCAUCUUCUAAUAUGUUUCCAUUUCAUUUUAUUAGUCAAUUUGGAUUUUUUCUUUCACCUUUUAAAUGUUUUAUCAUUUACUCAAUGCUUAUGGCUUAUGCUGCUCAGGUUUUCAUUUUAUUCAGCGAUAGUUCAAUGUACAUCCUUUGUCCAAUUGUUUCAUUUGAAAGAAGUCCCCGAAGUCCCCGAGUAAGAGUAGCUUCUUGGUUGGGGAGUUCAAAUCAUGAAGUCAUCAAGCAUAAGUAAUAUCUGAGAGGCGCACGGCCCCUACAAGUCCCCGAGCUCCGCAAGCAAGAAGGGACUCGCUAUCCUGUAUCACAAAAGACAAAAAUUCGUAUAUGUAGUUACAUCGGAGGUGCACUAAUGUAUGAAGUGCAUGAGAUAAUGGGGUGUCGCCCUGCCGCAUGGCGGUAGGUCGUGGACCAUAGACUCGUGGAGCCCGGAGGCUAGACCAUAUGUAAGAAGCAUUGUGAACCGAGAGCGUAACUAAAGCAUGUUGGAUAAGUGGAGCGAGUUAGGUGUUCGAGCAAGUUGGGUGUAGGCGCUGUAUGAGCGUGCGGGGCGUAGCCCAAGCGAGUCGCGGCCAUGCUUUGAUACCCAAGCGAGUCAUAACCGUUUCGCAAGCAUUUAUCCGAGCAUGUUUAAUUGAGCUAUAAGUGUCACAAGGUUCUAGAUGAAUGUCACAUGAAAGUGAAUUUAAGCAUGUAUGUGUGUAGCAUGUACUUGUAGGAAAGUUGCUAAUAACAUGUUGUAGGCAUGCUUAAGGGUUAUAGAGACAUGUAUAGACAUGGCAAUAGCUCUAAUCGCAAGAGCGGAAAAGAUAAGAAAUAGUGACUUAUCUUAUGCCGAUUUGGAGCGAGUUGGAGUUGGCCGAGCGUGACGGUCCAUUGCUUGUGGCGGAUAAAGUAUUCCGAUAAUGUCCGUCAACUCGUAGUUGCGCUUGAAUGCUUGAUAGAAAUAAUUGAAUUUCCUUAGAACGAAAUAGGUGAUUAGUUCAUGAGUAUGUAGAAUCAAUACUAGUAUUUUGCAUAUGUACUUUGACAAAAUUGUAAGCAAAGUAUAUGUGAAGUUGUAGUUGAUGGCAGAAUGACAUAUUUAAUUAUGUGCUCUAAUAUGCA